AACCAUAGUGUUAUGUUACAAUAAUUAGUGAUAUUUUGUUAUGGAACUAAUUACAUCAAGAAAAAGACUCGCAAAGAGAACAGAACUAUUUCCCAGCGGCAAGCUAGCACAUGCGCAGAAGCAGCUGACCACAUCAAAAGGAUGAAGUGAAGCUAGCCGAGCCUGUCUCCUAGCAACAAGAUAACGCAUGCGUAUAGCUUCUCGGCAACAGAACAGAGCCGGCGCAGAGAGACCUGAUGACGUAAAACAGAGGAAUCAGACAAAAGGAGGGGACUUU
Corapipo altera (White-ruffed manakin) is the source of this 277-nucleotide long non-coding RNA. RefSeq lists it as uncharacterized. The record is from RefSeq and is a predicted model, not a curated record. The transcript has 2 exons. NCBI's taxonomy places the organism in Eukaryota, Metazoa, Chordata, Aves, Passeriformes, Pipridae.